This 253-nucleotide ribosomal RNA is filed under the name uncultured bacterium. Its description in RNAcentral is "partial 16S ribosomal RNA". It matches the Rfam family "Bacterial small subunit ribosomal RNA", at positions 524 to 776 of the family's 1533-position model. The record is from RNAcentral.
UACGGAGGAUCCAAGCGUUAUCCGGAAUCAUUGGGUUUAAAGGGUCCGUAGGCGGUUUGGUAAGUCAGUGGUGAAAGCCCAUCGCUCAACGGUGGAGCGGCCAUUGAUACUGCCAGACUUGAAUUAUUAGGAAGUAACUAGAAUAUGUAGCGUAGCGGUGAAAUGCUUAGAGAUUACAUGGAAUACCAAUUGCGAAGGCAGGUUACUACUAAUGGAUUGACGCUGAUGGACGAAAGCGUGGGUAGCGAACAGG